This 68-nucleotide transfer RNA is filed under the name Buergeria buergeri (Buerger's frog). Its description in RNAcentral is "tRNA-Asp". It matches the Rfam family "tRNA". Rfam says of the family: Transfer RNA (tRNA) molecules are approximately 80 nucleotides in length. Their secondary structure includes four short double-helical elements and three loops (D, anti-codon, and T loops). Lineage: Eukaryota; Metazoa; Chordata; Amphibia; Anura; Rhacophoridae. The record is from RNAcentral.
GAGGAGUUAGUUAAAUAUAACAUUACCUUGUCAAGGCAAAAUUACUAGUGAAACCCUUGUACCCCUCU